CGCGGUAAUUCCAGCUCCAAUAGCGUAUACUAAAGUGUUGCAGUUAAAAAGCUCGUAGUUGGAUUUCUGGCGGGGACGGCUGGUCGGUCUCGAAAGGGGCUGUACUGUUGUUGGUUCCCGUCAUCCUUGGGGAGAGCGGCUCUUACAUUAAGUUGUCGGCGUCGGGAUCCCUAUCUUUUACUGUGAAAAAAUUAGAGUGUUCAAAGCAGGCUUAGGCCCUGAAUACAUUAGCAUGGAAUAAUAAGAUACGACCUUGGUGGUCUAUUUUGUUGGUUUGCACGCCAAGGUAAUGAUUAAUAGGGAUAGUUGGGGGUAUUCGUAUUCAAUUGUCAGAGGUGAAAUUCUUGGAUUUAUGGAAGGCGAACUACUGCGAAAGCAUUUACCAAGGAUGUUUUCAUUAAUCAAGAACGAAAGUUAGGGGAUCGGAGAUGAUUAGAUACCAUCGUAGUCUUAACCAUAAACUAUGCCGACUAGGGAUCGGUGGGUGCAUUUUUAGGCCUCAUCGGCACCUUAUGAGAAAUCAAAGUCUUUGGGUUCCGGGGGGAGUAUGGUCGCAAGGCUGAAACUUAAAGAAAUUGACGG
This 582-nucleotide ribosomal RNA is filed under the name uncultured Eustigmatophyceae. RNAcentral's name for it is "SSU rRNA". It matches the Rfam family "Eukaryotic small subunit ribosomal RNA", at positions 575 to 1159 of the family's 1831-position model. Lineage: Eukaryota; Eustigmatophyceae. The record is from RNAcentral.